RNAcentral lists this ribosomal RNA (440 nucleotides) under uncultured bacterium. RNAcentral's name for it is "partial 16S ribosomal RNA". It matches the Rfam family "Bacterial small subunit ribosomal RNA", at positions 338 to 795 of the family's 1533-position model. The record is from RNAcentral.
CCUACGGGGUGCAUCAGUGGGGGAUAUUGCACAAUGGGGGAAACCCUGAUGCAGCGACGCCGCGUGGGUGAAGAAGCGCCUCGGCGCGUACAGCCCUGUCAGCAGGGAAGAAAAUGACGGUACCUGAAGAAGAAGCCCCGGCUAACUACGUGCCAGCAGCCGCGGUAAUACGUAGGGGGCAAGCGUGAUCCGGAUUUACUGGGUGUAAAGGGGGCGCAGACGGCGAUGCAAGCCAGGAGUGAAAGCCCGGGGCCCAACCCCGGGACUGCUCUUGGAACUGCGUGGCUAGAGUGCAGGAGGGGCAGGCGGAAUUCCUGGUGGAGCGGUGAAAUGCGUAGAUAUCAGGAGGAACACCGGUGGCGAAGGCGGCCUGCUGGACUGCAACUGACGUUGAGGCCCGAAAGCGUGGGGAGCAAACAGGAUUAGAUACCCCGGUAGUC